GGCCCGUUCGUCUAGGGGUUAGGACGUCUGGUUUUCAUCCAGGAAACAGGGGUUCGAUUCCCCUACGGGCUG
Molecule: transfer RNA, 72 nt
Filed under: Vicingus serpentipes
Lineage: Bacteria; Pseudomonadati; Bacteroidota; Flavobacteriia; Flavobacteriales; Vicingaceae
Also listed under: 3 other names
Description: tRNA-Glu
Rfam family: tRNA
About the family: Transfer RNA (tRNA) molecules are approximately 80 nucleotides in length. Their secondary structure includes four short double-helical elements and three loops (D, anti-codon, and T loops). Further hydrogen bonds mediate the characteristic L-shaped molecular structure. tRNAs have two regions of fundamental functional importance: the anti-codon, which is responsible for specific mRNA codon recognition, and the 3' end, to which the tRNAs corresponding amino acid is attached (by aminoacyl-tRNA synthetases). tRNAs cope with the degeneracy of the genetic code in two manners: having more than one tRNA (with a specific anti-codon) for a particular amino acid; and 'wobble' base-pairing, i.e. permitting non-standard base-pairing at the 3rd anti-codon position.
Source: RNAcentral